Molecule: ribosomal RNA, 722 nt
Filed under: Brucella pseudintermedia
Lineage: Bacteria; Pseudomonadati; Pseudomonadota; Alphaproteobacteria; Hyphomicrobiales; Brucellaceae
Description: bacterial SSU rRNA
Rfam family: Bacterial small subunit ribosomal RNA
Source: RNAcentral
AGCGGCAGACGGGUGAGUAACGCGUGGGAAUCUACCCAUCACUAGGGAAUAACUCAGGGAAACUUGUGCUAAUACCCUAUACGACCGAGAGGUGAAAGAUUUAUCGGUGAUGGAUGAGCCCGCGUUGGAUUAGCUAGUUGGUGGGGUAAAGGCCUACCAAGGCGACGAUCCAUAGCUGGUCUGAGAGGAUGAUCAGCCACACUGGGACUGAGACACGGCCCAGACUCCUACGGGAGGCGCAGUGGGGAUAUUGGACAUGGGCGCAGCCUGAUCCAGCCAUGCCGCGUGAGUGAUGAAGGCCUAGGGUUGUAAGCUCUUUCACCGGUGAAGAAAUGACGGAACCGGAGAAGAACCCCGGCUACUUCGUGCCAGCAGCCGCGGUAUACGAAGGGGCUAGCGUGUUCGGAUUACUGGGCGUAAGCGCACGUAGGCGGGCUAAUAGUCAGGGUGAAUCCCGGGCUCACCCCGGACUGCCUUGAACUGUAGUCUUGAGAUGGAAAGGGAGUGGAUUCCAGUGUAGAGUGAAUUCGAAAUUUCGGAGGACACCGUGGCGAAGCGGUCAUGGUCCUUACUGACCUGAGUGCGAAGCGUGGGAGCAACAGGAUAGAUCCCUGGAGUCACGCCGUAACAUAAUGUAGCGUUGGGAGUUACUCUCGUGGGCACUACGCUUAACUUCCCCUGGGAGACGGCGCAGAUAAACUCAAAGAAUGACGGGGCCGCAC